GGACUACCGUCCUGACCAGAACUCUGCCCUACCCGUAGGUACCGGGCCGCUGUCACUCACAGCUGACUGCACCUGCCCAAUGGGCCCAGGCUCCAUAGUCCACAAAUGGUCUAGGCACGGGUCGUCCCCAAGCACUACCCGUCGUCGUCGUCCUACACGACAUACUCUACCGAGUCACACGUACCAAUAUUGGCUCCUAUGCACCUAGUGCGAGUCACCAGUCCCACGAGUGAUCCAUGGCACGCUUCACACCUAGCAAUGCUCAAGUGCUACUGCCAAUACACUCUCUCAACUGAAUCCACAUCCGCACUCUACGGGUAUCUACACUCGAGCGCUCUACGCCUCUACAGCGUUCCACACGAUGUCCAGCAUUAGGCAAUCUUGCCUAUGCACACCGGCCGCACGAGCACAACCGCCUACCUCACCUUGAGGUACUACUAGGCCCAUGUGCUCAAACUUGGCCACUAAUCGACCGUUCUCUCAACAGUGAUGCCACUUUCGCUGUUCGAUCUACCGGAAUGACAUACAAUAUUUUCGGGCCACUCGGGUAUUCUCAUAAGCAUCAUGGCUCAACUCUCGCAAUUUACAACUCAUAUUGCUCUGAGAGUUAUUUCGCCACUUCUAUCUCUACCGCAAGUCUCACUUCUCAUCAUAGAUUACUUCUAGCACUUCGCUAGUGCCAUCUAGCUCUAUAUACCUGUACUGGCAGGUACUGCGCCCUUACAUAAUACAAAACUUCAUUUCUAGAGCAAUCAAAUCUAUCUCUAGAAAUCCACCAUGAGAGAGAGCUUAGAAGCUUACCUCUCCAAGAAGCUCCAACCAAGGAGAAGAUGAAGAAGAUGAGGAAGACCUCCUUCUUCUUCUCUUUCUUUCCUUUCCUUUCUUCUUCCUCUUCUUGUCUUCUAGAGAGAGAAAGAAAGAUAUGAGAGGGUGUGUGGGUGAGAAAUGAGAGAAAAGAGCUCUCAUACCCCCCACAUAGCCCCACAUGUUGCAUAAGUGCAAACAAGCCCAUCAACUUUUAUUCUUCUACAUUGCCUUCACUGGGCAUUUUCGGGCUGGGGGGACCGGUCUCUCCUUCAGGGACCGGUUCCCGUAGCUCCUCCCCGCGGUCAACAGGGCUCCCACGCGCAAUGCGACCGGUCUCUCUUUGGGGGACCGGUCUCUCGGGGACCGGUCUCUCCAGCAGGGACCGAUCUCCGAGAGCAGAAAAUCUGCAGUUUGCAGACUUUCAAAUCCCUAGCUCUCGAAGAUCCCCAAUGAUGCACCUUUACUCCUUUUGACGCCUUCGGCCUUACUGAAGCAUACCAACCUCACACUUUAGUCAAUUUGACCAAAAGUGAUCUAACACAACAAGGAUUCCGUUAAUUUCUCAAAGGUCAUGAGAGCUACCAAAACUCGCGAAGUUCUAAGUCUCCGCUCGUCUCAAACUGCCUAGGGACACCACUCAUCCCAUACCGCGCCGAUCUAGAUGAAGAUCGCCUACGCGGUGCUAUUGCUUCCUAAGACACGACAACUCGGUCGAUUCUCGACCCUCAAGGUCGAGCGCGAAACAAUUGACACCGACUCGAAUCGGGCGAAAGUCAUGCAAUGGUGUCUAUUCUCAUCACUUCAUUUCAUGUUGUGUAUACCCAACAUGAACACCCUCGGUUGAGAAUAAACCACACCUCGAGUCUACCUCUAACAUCCGUUUUAGAGGUUUACUAACCUGACCUAAUCGAUCAAUCUUUCGCCAUAAGUCAUAAAUCCUCGUCUCUCACGAGCCUUAAUCUCUUAUGGUUUGCUAUCCUAGGGUCUCCUAGGUCCAGCUAUACCAUUUUCUAUUAUUCUUUUUAUAUUCUUUUUAUGCUCUAAUACCAUCUUAUCUGUCACGCCCCGCGACCGCCCGCCUAUUUGGCCGGGUCGCGGCGCCGCCGACAGACCGCCGAAUGGACAGGGUUUCCCCUGUACCGCGGACAGAGUCUCCCUUGUACAUUCAAGGCGUCGCAAUCAAUACAAUGUACAAAGUUCCAACCAGGAACACAUUUCAAUCAAAGAUUGCAUAAGGAAGUAUCAAAAACAUAAUCUACUUGCUAUUAUAAGCAUUCACAUUCACUAGAUAUAUUUUACAUCACAAUUUCGUUUUGCAUUUAACUUUCAAAUACAAUCAUACUUUUAUUACAAAUUAAUACAAUCUUAUUCCCUAAGUAAAGGCCGACUCAGGGUACCGCUAUCUCUGGUCUAGGUGGUAGGGUGCUAACUAUGGAGCUAUGCCCUCGCCUCGCGCCGCCGCGCCGCUCACGUGUGAAACUGUAACACCCCAAAACCACGUGGGGAGAACCAACUC
RNAcentral lists this long non-coding RNA (2323 nucleotides) under Ananas comosus (pineapple). RNAcentral's name for it is "long non-coding RNA (ACOM_LNC039881)". The record is from RNAcentral. Lineage: Eukaryota; Viridiplantae; Streptophyta; Magnoliopsida; Poales; Bromeliaceae.